UGGUUCCAAUUGUUUUUACAUCAUACAUUUUUCCCAUAUGGGAAUUUUAGAAACAUUUAAAAUAAGUUCUGUGUUUUGUGUAGGCUUACCUUGACGUGAUGUUUUGAUAACCAUGUAUAUCUAAUUAGCUGCUUAUGUGGCAAUCAUAAAGAACUGCAAAUUACAUGAUGAUCUGAAUGAAACUGCUGAAUCGAGGCAAAGGUCACCCAAGUUGAGGUAAACGUUGAAAGUAUCAAUAUCAACGAAAGCGAAUCUUAAUCGAGCCUAACCUACAUGGAUUAAAAUAUAAACCAUGGAAUGUUAUUGGAGGGCGAGUCCCAAAAUAAAAAAUGCAGCAGCAGUCAACUUCAUCACUGCCCCUUCUGCACAUAUAAGGCUGAACAAUAUAUGGCCAACAACCGCAUCAAAGGUCAUGCUUCAGUGUGGCACAAAGAGUUCACAAUCAUAAAGUGUGGCUUCAGUUGUAGAAAUGCGACACGCUGUGUUUGCUUCAAACAGCCAUGUCACUGCUACUUGGUUUCCACCAGCAUCAUUGAACCCCAUGGAUCACCUGCCGGAGAAUGCAGCAAGUCUGCAGUGGAUUCUUAUUUCAGUAUGAGAACCUGGACAUUGGACAAUAUGUGUAAGUAAAUUUAGUUUUGCCUUUGUUAUUGUUUGUUUACUGUAAAACGAAGUUGCUCAUUGCCGAUCUUAUUCUUUGCUAGAAUUAUAAUGCGUCAUAGCUAUGUUUCAUUUACCACUACCUUUCUUUCAGUAUAAAUCAUACAACUUUAAAGUCAUAGGUUUAAAGGUUGUAUGUCAAAAUGUGUCUGUUCAUAUUUGAACACAUUUAACAGAUACUGAGGCCACAAGCUAGGGAGAUUUUCUUUCUAGAUCUUUCCAUGGCACUGGCUGGAGAGAUGAAAGUCGCACCCAACAGAUUCAGGUUUUUAGGGCACCCGGUUUCAUCCCAUCUGGAUAGUGGUAGUUCAGUUUUAGACCACUUAUCCAUGAUUUUUUAAUUUAAAAAAAUAAAAUAUGGCUCUGUUUUAUUUAAAGUAAAAUGUAAUAUGUAAAAUAUGUAUGUACGAUACAUAAUUUCCCAUUUGUGCAUUAAACAGAUGGAAACAGAACCAUAGAUAACAUUAUCAGUUGGGGCAGUUCUCUUUGAACCCAUUAUGACCCCCCUAAAAAAUGCGUUCGAGCCUCUAGGUGCUACCAAAGCAAGGUUUCUCAAACAACUGUGGGGUGUUUGUUUUGAUGGUAAGAUGCUGGCUAUUCAGCAUAUUAUAUUAGUCCUAUUUUCUGUUAUAACAUAUGAAAAGUUAUUAUUAUUUCUGUGCUUGCAGCAUGCAAAGCACUCUAUUGUUAUUGCUCACACUUUUUUUUGUUUAUUAUUCUUGACACUUUUUGGGACCUAUUUCCUAAAGUUUUUACACUACAUACACAAUUCAUACAUCAAACUCCUGCAGAGUUGGAUGCUGAUGUGACAUGUUGUGACUUCUUGGGGGGGUUGUCUUCUACAUCCUGAAAUAUAUAUCCCGGGGGGGAUGUCUUCUACAUCCUGAAAUAUAUAUCCCGGGGGGGGGUGUCUUCUACAUCCUGAAAUAUAUAUCCCGGGGGGGGAUGUCUUCUACAUCCUGAAAUAUAUAUCCCGGGGGAUGUCUUCUACAUCCUGAAAUAUAUAUCCCGGGGGGAUGUCUUCUACAUCCUGAAAUAUAUAUCCCGGGGGGAUGUCUUCUACAUCCUGAAAUAUAUAUCCGGGGGGGGGGUUCUCAUUAUUGUUGUUAUCAUAACUAUCAAACUACUUAACUUACAGUACACUGUUUACAUUGCAAUGGAAGCACAGUGUGAUUUCACUGAGGUAUGUAUACAUUUUGAAAUUCUGAUCACUAGUGGAUAUAAUGUUUUUUGAGAUUACUAUCCGAUUGUGUGAUUUUCUUUUUCAAAGGAAAACAUGCAGCAAAUUAGGCGAUCGUGGUGCCUAGUUCUCCUGCAAAACUUUCCCAUGUCGUAAGUGUUGAACAUUAUAAAAAUGUAUAAUUUUCAUCCUUAAAAUCCCUUUCACUGUAGCCAGACUGACCUGAAUAUAUUUUCAUAUUGAAUGUAUGUAAUGUAUGUAAUGUAUGUCACUAAGGUCUGAAGAAGGGAGGUUGAAAGAUCGAAAAGGGCAGCGAAAACAAAACACACUACAGGUAGGAAGUGUCAUGAUGAGUGGUAUAGUCUUAAACCAAUGUUUAAAGACUUAACCCUCCUCUCAUAUGAUGAGCGGUAUAGUCUUAAACCAAUGUUUAAAGACUUAACCCUCCUCUCAUAUGAUGAGUGGUAUAGUCUUAAACCAAUGUUUAAAGACUUAACCCCCCUCUCAUAUGAUGAGCGGUAUAGUCUUAAACCAAUGUUUAAAGACUUAACCCUCCUCUCAUAUGAUGAGCGGUAUAGUCUUAAACCAAUGUUUAAAGACUUAACCCUCCUCUCAUAUGAUGAGUGGUAUAGUCUUAAACCAAUGUUUAAAGACUUAACCCCCCUCUCAUAUGAUGAGCGGUAUAGUCUUAAACCAAUGUUUAAAGACUUAACCCCCCCUCCAAUAUAUUUCAGGAUUUCAAGACACCCCCCCCCCCCCCCAAGAAGUCCCAGCAUGUCUCAUCAGCAUCCAGCUCUGCAGGAUCAGACGAUACUGAAAACAAAAUGCACGGCGAACUGGGAGCUGUGAACUGGGAAGCAGAUGUUCUUCAAAGAGACACCCUAGAGGCAGCAAGGAGGUGCGAACGACAAAGCAUUUAAAGGCAUUGAUUCCCUCCCUAGUGUAAUUAGGAUGGACGGGAAGACCACAUUACAACCCUUAAAGAACAACGGUUGUAUUAUGGCCUGGAUGAAGAGGAAAAUAUUAUCCUCAAGGAACCAUUCAUGUUCCAGUUACAGAGAGAUGUUCUAUGUGGAGGCAGUUGACAAGAAAAUGACUGUCUGCCUCUUCUGAGGAGCAGGAGUGAAGGCAUUUUUGAGGAGUGGUCAAAACUUGUUUUUGUCUGCUGUGUUAAUUGUUUCAAUUGUUAAUUGUGUUAUGUUGUUUAGUAAAGAUGACGUAGAACUCACCCGAGUCUAUGAUCUCUGAUCUCUGAUGAUUUACUGGAGCUGGUAUAACUUCAUGUACAAAGCACAUUCAGCAUGUCAGUAUAUCUAUAUGGUAUAGUCUGUCUCCAUUCUCAUGUGGAAAGUAAAUGGCAC
Molecule: long non-coding RNA, 3201 nt
Filed under: Salmo salar (Atlantic salmon)
Lineage: Eukaryota; Metazoa; Chordata; Actinopteri; Salmoniformes; Salmonidae
Description: lncRNA (ENSSSAG00000107615.1)
Source: RNAcentral